GUCCACGCUGUAAACGAUGAGUGCUAGGCGUCGGCACGCUUGCGUGUCGGUGCCGCAGCUAACGCGUGAAGCACUCCGCCUGGGGAGUACGGUCGCAAGAUUAAAACUCAAAGGAAUUGACGGGGGCCCGCACAAGCGGUGGAGCAUGUGGUUUAAUUCGACGCAACGCGCAGAACCUUACCAGGGCUAGACAACAUCGGACAGCUCUAGAAAUAGGGUCUUCCCGCAAGGGACCGGUGGUUCAGGUGCUGCAUGGCUGUCGU
Molecule: ribosomal RNA, 263 nt
Filed under: uncultured bacterium
Lineage: Bacteria
Description: partial 16S ribosomal RNA
Rfam family: Bacterial small subunit ribosomal RNA
Source: RNAcentral